UAAACAUUGAUACAUUAUUACAUUUUCAAUCCGCCCGGGUACUACAAGCACUAGCUUAAAACCCAAAGGACUUGGCGGUGCUUAAGAUCCCCCUAGAGGAGCCUGUUCUAGAACCGAUAAUCCACGUUUAACCUCACCCUCUCUUGUUUCUCCCGCUUAUAUACCGCCGUCGUCAGCUUACCCUGUGAAGGUCUAAUAGUGAGCAAAAAUGGCACAGCCCAAAACGUCAGGUCGAGGUGUAGCACAUGAGAGGGGAAGAAAUGGGCUACAUUCUCUAAAAAUAGAAGCAUACGGACAAUAUAUUGAAACAUAUAUUUUAAGGAGGAUUUAGCAGUAAGUAGAAAUUAGAAUAUUCCACUGAAUCCGGCCCUAAAGCGCGC
This 380-nucleotide ribosomal RNA is filed under the name Betta prima. RNAcentral's name for it is "partial 12S ribosomal RNA". It matches the Rfam family "Bacterial small subunit ribosomal RNA", at positions 801 to 1384 of the family's 1533-position model. The record is from RNAcentral. RNAcentral also lists the same sequence under 1 other name. Lineage: Eukaryota; Metazoa; Chordata; Actinopteri; Anabantiformes; Osphronemidae.